UGGCCCUUAUGUCCAGGGCUACACACGUGCUACAAUGGCCGGUACAAAGGGUAGCAAGACCGCGAGGUGGAGCCAACCCCAAAAAGCCGGUCUCAGUUCGGAUUGGAGUCUGCAACUCGACUCCAUGAAGUUGGAAUCGCUAGUAAUCGUGGAUCAGCAUGCCACGGUCGAAUACGUUCCGGGCCUU
RNAcentral lists this ribosomal RNA (187 nucleotides) under uncultured Desulfuromonas sp. RNAcentral describes it as "partial 16S ribosomal RNA". It matches the Rfam family "Bacterial small subunit ribosomal RNA", at positions 1196 to 1382 of the family's 1533-position model. The record is from RNAcentral. Lineage: Bacteria; Pseudomonadati; Thermodesulfobacteriota; Desulfuromonadia; Desulfuromonadales; Desulfuromonadaceae.